RNAcentral lists this long non-coding RNA (2259 nucleotides) under Oncorhynchus kisutch (coho salmon). RNAcentral's name for it is "lncRNA (ENSOKIG00005047752.1)". Lineage: Eukaryota; Metazoa; Chordata; Actinopteri; Salmoniformes; Salmonidae. The record is from RNAcentral.
AUGUGGGUACAUUGUUGGGGCCCUCCCCCCAAAAAGGUGGUUACAUUGUUGGGGCACUCCCCCCAAAAAGGUGGGUACAUUGUUGGGUCCCUCCCCCAAAAAGGCGGGUACAUUGUUGGGGCCCUCCCCCAAAAAGGUGGUUACAUUGUUGGGGCCCUCCCCCCAAAAAUGUGGGUACAUUGUUGGGGCCCUCCCCCCAAAAAGGUGGUUACAUUGUUGGGGCCCUCCCCCCAAAAAGGUGGGUACAUUGUUGGGUCCCUCCCCCAAAAAGGUGGUUACAUUGUUGGGGCCUCCCCCCAAAAAUGUGGGUACAUUGCGUUUACCCUCCACUACACCAGUGAUCCUACUCUGAGACUCUUUAUGAAUAUGGACCCUGCUUCAGUCACUCUGUAUUGAUAGCUUCAGGUUGUUGUUAUCUGCUUCCAAACAGGUGACCACUCCCUGAUUAUCUAUCUACACACAAUGAAUGAAAGCAUCAACCUUCUGGGGACUUGAACACCAGGACACUACACUUGACAGACCUCCAAGUGUAUGACCACCACACACUAGGCUGCUGUUAAGCUAAAUGGAUUUAAACAACAAUAUUGAAAAGUGUGUGUGUGUGUGUGUGUGUGUGUGUGUGUGUGUGUGUGUGUGUGUGUGUGUGUGUGUGUGUGUGUGUGUGUGUGUGUGUGUGUGUGUGUGUGUGUGUUGCAUAAAUGUCACUUCCAAAUACUGAAAAAAAGAUCAUUCUAAAUAUUUAAAGUGAAGUGUAAAGUGUGAGGUAAUAAAACCUUCCUCGACAGCAGAAGGGUUUUGUUACACUUAUAGAUAAUGUAAUAAACCAUCCUCAACAGUAGAAGGGUUAUGUUACAGUUAUAGAUAAUGUAAUAAACCAUCCUCAACAGUAGAAGGGUUUUGUUACAGCUAUAGAUAAUGUAAUAAACCAUCCUCAACAGUAGAAGGGUUAUGUUACACUUAUAGAUAAUGUAAUAAACCAUCAACAGUAGAAGGGUUAUGUUACAGCUAUAGAUAAUGUAAUAAACCAUCCUCAACAUCAGAAGGGUUUUGUUACAGCUAUAGAUAAUGUAAUAAACCAUCCUCAACAGUAGAAGGGUUAUGUUACAGUUAUAGAUAAUGUAUUAAACCAUCCUCAAAAGCAGAAGGUUUUUGUUACAGCUAUAGAUAAUGUAAUAAACCAUCCUCAACAGUAGAAGGGUUAUGUUACAGUUAUAGAUAAUGUAAUAAACCCUCCUCAACAGUAGUAGAAGGGUUAUGUCACAGUUAUGGACUUAGAUGUUUGGUCUUAGCUGUGGACAAUCAGAGACGUAGCUUGAGGCAUCAGAUCCUUUGCCUGUCAUGUCUCUGUAUCUGCACUAUGAAGGAACAGCAAUACACCAAGUCAACACUUCUGCCUUUGAACAUUCUUGUCCAGUUAAAACGCCUUUGCCUUUUUCUUUCAGUGGCAGUAUUAGUUAUUCUUAUAGAAAUGGCUAAUAUUCUGUACAUGUUUAUGAGCCAUCCACCUGCAGGAUGUUGUAUCCUGUUCUAGAGAAUCCUCUUGGUGAAUGUUUCAGUGGUUUAGAAAAGAGAUCAGACCCUGAUAUAGAGGUUCUUCAGUAGCACCACCAGUUCUCCUGUUGUGGAUUCCCCUGAUGUGUAAUGUGUGUAUCACAGAGAUGAAACACUUCUAUAUCCAUGGUGUGUAUAGUGUUUUGAGGCAGGUCAUGUACUAUAGAUUCCAUCUAUAUACUGUAGUAUGUUGUGCGUUCCCUGGUUGGACAUGGAGAUUGGAGAAGUAUUUAUUAUUAUGAUAAUAGACUUAUUUAUUUGCUCGUUGUGCACUACUUUUGACCAGGUAGUGUACUAUGUAGGGAAUAGGGUAUAAUUUCUGUCCUUUUUACCUGCCGUGGGGUUUCAAUAGGUUAGGAACUGGUCUGCAUGAUGUGGUAAAGCCAUGGAUCGACCACCAAGUAAAAUAUGCAUGGAACAAAAAGCAUUUCCUUGUGAAGUAGUGGUUUUCUACAUGUCGCUACAAUGCCCAAAUCAGCAUGUACUAACAAAUAUUAUUUCAGAAAGGGAAACAAAAGCAAUACCAAGUCACUGCUCUUCUCUCUCAUCAGUCUUUCUGCGUUUCAUUUCCUACAGUCCUUUUGAAAUGUUAAAUAAUAAAUGAAAUGUUUUGUUGUAUGAAUACAGUGUGGUGAGUUUCUGUGGAAAGACGUGCGGAUACAUAGUUCAACUCAGAGAAAUGCCUCGGCACCGCAGAACUGAGACGAG